This is a non-coding RNA of Cajanus cajan (pigeon pea), 7107 nucleotides long. NCBI's taxonomy places the organism in Eukaryota, Viridiplantae, Streptophyta, Magnoliopsida, Fabales, Fabaceae. The record is from RefSeq and is a predicted model, not a curated record.
CCAAUCUUAUUAUUCUCCUCCCUCAGUGGUCACGGUUCAGGUCAUAGAGCGAACGUUUCCCUUGCCGUAAGAAGCCGUUACUUGUUACCGUGCGCACUUCACUCUCUCUCUCUCUCUUCUCCGUAGAGAGAACAGAACACCAUCGGGGAACGCAGUGCCACAACCCCAGCAAAUAUUUCUCCGAUUUCAAUUAUUUUGAUUGAGGCUCGAGGGUUAUUAAUCUGGUGAUGAUGGGGAAGUGAGAAGCUACGGCAUAAAGGGAUUGUUGUGUGGGAAACCUAGGUUUGCAAAAUGGAGGGAGAAGAUAUUAGGUCUGGGAUGAAGAAGAAGCGAUCCAAGAAGGAAAUUGGUUUUGACUCUGGUGAUGACGAGCCCAUUGGGUCAAUCUUUAAGGUUAAAAGGUCCAGGAAGAAGGCUAGUUGUAGUAGUGAUGCUGUUAGGGGAAAGGAGGAUUUGGAGGGUAUGGAUGAUAAUGAUACCUUGGCUAGCUUUAGAAAGAGGUUGAAGGGUCCUAAGAGAGAUCAGGGAUCUGGGGCCACAAGAGGAGCAAGUCCUGCUGCUUUGCCUGUGUCUGAUGAAGAUUUGGUUGCUUUGGGACCUAACGGUAAGGAUGAGAAAAGGGUGGUGUCUGGUGAUGUUGACAUGCAGAUGCGGGAUUCAUCUGAUCAGCACAUGGAGGGUUCCUUGUCUGCAAUUUUCCACAAGGCACAGUCUAGUUCGGCUAGGAAAUCUCGUGGGGGUUUGAAGCAGAAAAAGGUGAUUCAGAAUGUGGAUAGUGGGAUGAGCCCUGGUUGUGAUGGUUUUGUAGAGGCUGUGGAUUCUGUGGUUGAAAGUAGAUCCGGAUCUGCUUCUGGCUUAAAAUUGGUUGAGGGGAAUGUUGUGUCUGCUGAUGCUUUGCCUCAAGCAUCUGAACCGGCUUUCACAUCUGUGGUGGAUGAUCAGAAGUGCGGUGAUGGCGUUUUCCAAGAGGAAACUGUGAAGGGAGAUUGCGAAUCAGAUGUUCCAGAUGUCUGUCAUGGAGAUAGGCAGCAAUUGUCUUGUGUACAGGUUGAGGAUAUUUGUUGUGCUUCUGACCAGAAGGUUGCAUUGCAGGAAAGUGUUCUUGGUGAAAGUUUAGAUAAGUUAUCUUCCAUGUCACAUGAUGAAACAGUUGAUACUGCCUCUCUCUCAAAAAUGGGAGAAGAGGUAAAAGGCUUUACUGAGGUCAGAGAGUCUGAGAAUAUAUUGACUGAUGAACUAGCACAAGUGUGUAACAUUGCUUCAGAACGUGAUGAUUCUACUUUUGUGGUGCAUGAAAAUGUCUCAACUUCUGCUCAUACCGAACCCUUUAUAUCAACUGAAAAUAUAUUGAAUGAGAGUAAUAAUAUGUUUUCUGGAAAAGAUUUCCGGGAGUUCUCAAGUAAUGGCACUCUAAAAUUAUCUGGAUCCCAUUUGGAAGUAGAUGGAGGUGGAAAAUCAGAAUCGGAGUUUGUUAAUAGAAAUUUAUGUGAUUUUAGUAGUUUAGAUUCAAAGGCUGAAGUGCAAGAUUUUGUUUUGGGUUUUUCACCUAAAAGAAAUGAUGCAACUUUUGGUGGUAGUUUAUCUUCCAUGGUGUCUAAUGAAGCCAAUGAAGCUGAAUUGGCUGCCCUCUCAAAUCACCCAGAGAAACCUCUAGAAGCUUUCAAUAUUCCAAAAGAUUCUACUGCUUCAAUUCAGAAAUGUAGCUCAGUGUUAGAUCCAAUUCAAUCUGAUGGAUCUUCUCUUCAAUCUUCAAUUCCUGAUGAAAAUGGGAACUCUGCAGAAUACCAUCCCUCUGUGCCUGAUUUUGCUGAUAAUGAUUGUAAGUUAUCGAGCAUUCCGCGUGUUAUGCGAAAGGCAAAGAUGCGUAAGCAUGGAGACAUGACAUAUGAGGGGGAUGCUGAUUGGGAGAUUUUAAUUAAUGAUCACGCUCUAAAUGAAAGUCAAGUUAUGGUAGAUGGUGACCGCACUCUUAGAACAAGAAUGAAGCAUGAAUCCUCUUUGAAUACAGGUGAAGACUUUGAAAAUGUUGCAGUAGUAGCAGUAUCAGCUGGGCUGAAAGCCCGUAAAGCUGGUCCAAUUGAGAAAAUAAAGUUUAAGGAGAUCUUGAAGCGCAAAGGUGGUCUCAAGGAAUAUUUGGAUUGCAGAAAUCAGAUUUUAAGUCUUUGGAGCAGAGAUGUCACACGUAUUUUGCCUCUUGCUGAAUGUGGAGUUAGUGAUACUCAUUCGGAGGAUGGAAGUCCUCGGUCUUCUCUUAUUAAGGAGGUCUAUGCAUUUCUUGAUCAAUAUGGUUAUAUAAAUGUUGGAAUUGCUUCCCAGAAGGAGAAUGUUGGAAUUAGUGCAAAGCAUUGUUAUAAACUGGUAAAAGAAAAAGGUUUUGAGGAAAGUUCUGCAGCUUCAGUGGCAGACUCUGAAGAUGGAGUUUCUUUUAUUGUUGGUCAGACUAAAAUGUCACAUACUUCCAAUGAGAUUAACAAUGGUCUUACAAAGAAUUUUGAGGACCUAACAACUGAAGCUACAGAAGGUAUGAGGUAUGUUAAUGAAGCGAAGAUGGAUUUAUCAGACAUGACACAGCAGGCUGAAAGAAAAAAAAUUGAUUACCAGGAAAAUGAUGGGAUUCAGGAUGGUAUUGUAAAUGUCACUGUUGACAGUUCCAUUCCUUCUUCCAUGUUUCCUGAUUGCAGAUUGACUUCUCUGGUAGCUACAGAGAAAAACAAUGACUCCACCACCUGUAUUAAAUCUUCCUUAGGGGGUCAGGCAGGUGAACAUCUGCAGUCUGAUUUAGAUCCUAGAAAGAGAGUAAUUGUCAUUGGAGCUGGUCCUGCUGGGCUAACUGCUGCUCGCCAUUUGCAACGUCAGGGAUUUCCUGUAACUGUGCUUGAGGCUAGGAAUAGGAUAGGAGGUCGUGUAUUUACUGAUCACUCAUCACUUUCUGUCCCUGUAGAUCUCGGUGCUAGCAUUAUAACUGGUGUUGAGGCUGAUGUGGCCACUGAAAGAAGACCAGAUCCUUCCUCACUGAUUUGUGCUCAGUUGGGCCUUGAGUUGUCAGUGUUGAACAGUGAUUGUCCUCUUUAUGACAUUGUGACAGGACAAAAGGUUCCUGCAGAUAUGGAUGAAGCACUGGAAGCUGAAUAUAAUAGUCUUAUUGAUGACAUGGUAUUGGUUGUUGCUCAGAAAGGUGAACAAGCAAUGAGAAUGUCUCUUGAAGAUGGUUUAGAAUAUGCUCUUAAGAUUCGUCGUAUGGCACGCUCUGAAAGUAGUGAAGAAACUGGACAAAAUAAUACUGCAGAUACUCCAUUUGAUUCCAAAAAGGACAGUACUGGGGAAAAAAAACUUGACGAGGAGAUUUUGAGCCCUCAGGAGAGGAGAGUUAUGGAUUGGCACUUUGCUCAUUUGGAGUAUGGUUGUGCUGCUUCGCUUGAGGACGUUUCUCUUCCCUACUGGAACCAAGAUGAUGUGUAUGGAGGUUUUGGGGGAGCUCAUUGUAUGAUUAAAGGGGGCUACAGCUCUGUUGUUGAGUCUCUGGGAGAAGGACUUACAAUUCACUUGAACCAUGUUGUAACAAAUGUGUCAUAUGGUAUCAAGGAACCAGGUCAGAGUAAUAAAGUUAAAGUUUCUACCUCAAAUGGCAAUGAGUUCUUUGGAGAUGCUGUCCUUGUUACUGUUCCACUUGGCUGUUUGAAGGCUGAAACUGUACAAUUCUCCCCACCUUUGCCACAGUGGAAAUGUUCUUCUGUUCAGCGUCUUGGUUAUGGAGUUCUAAAUAAAGUGGUUUUGGAAUUUCCUAGUGUAUUUUGGGAUGAUGCUAUGGACUACUUCGGAACAACAGCUGAGGAGAGAAGCAGUAGAGGUCACUGCUUUAUGUUCUGGAAUAUCAGGAAAACAGUUGGGGCUCCGGUCCUUAUAGCAUUAGUGGUUGGUAAGACAGCCAUAGACAGUCAAAACUUGAGUUCUUCUGAUCAUGUUAACCAUGCAUUGAAGGUUCUCCGUAAACUUUUUGGGGAGGAUUCAGUUCCUGAUCCUGUUGGCUAUGUUGUGACUGAUUGGGGUAGGGAUCCUUUUAGCUAUGGUGCUUAUUCAUACGUUGCUGUUGGAGCAUCAGGAGAAGACUAUGAUAUAUUAGGGAGACCAGUUGAUAACUGCUUGUUUUUUGCUGGUGAAGCAACCUGUAAAGAGCACCCAGACACUGUUGGUGGUGCAAUGAUGAGCGGACUACGAGAGGCUGUUCGCAUAAUUGACAUAUUGAGCACCGGAAAUGAUUAUAUUGCAGAGGUGGAGACAUUGGAAGCUGCACAGGGGCAGUUAGACACUGAAAGGGAUGAAGUUAGGGAUAUAAUAAAGAGACUUGAUGCAGUAGAGCUUUCUAACAUAAUGUAUAAGAACUCCUUAGAUGGUGCUCAAAUUUUAACCCGGGAAGCUUUGUUAAGGGAAAUGUUCUUUAAUACAAAAACCACUGCUGGGCGCUUGCAUGUGGCCAAACAAUUGCUAAGUCUUCCCGUUGGAAACUUAAAGUCUUUUGCUGGAAGUAAAGAGGGGCUAGCCAUUCUCAAUUCAUGGAUACUGGAUUCAAUGGGGAAGGAUGGUACCCAACUCUUGAGGCACUGUUUACGUCUUCUUGUUCGUGUUUCGACUGAUCUUCUUGCUGUACGAUUAUCAGGAAUGGGGAAAACGGUGAAGGAAAAAGUUUGUGUACACACUAGCCGGGAUAUUCGUGCUAUAGCAAGCCAGUUGGUGAAUGUAUGGCUUGAAGUUUUCCGGAAGGAAAAAGCUUCUAAUGGUGGAUUGAAGUUAUCAAGACAAACAGCUGCUGUGGAUUUAUCAAAGAGAAAAUCAGUAAAAGAUUCAGCCUCUGGAAAGCCACCUCUGAGCUCAUACCAUGGUACCAUUGAGAAUAAAGGUGGCUUGCUGAAUCCUGCAUCUGCUGGAAGCAAUUCACCUUCCACUGCACAUGUGAAGAAAUUGCAUAGUAAACAAGGAAGACACCAAACAGCUUAUGACUCAAGGCAUGAAGUCAGUUCUUCCAGGCCUAAAGGUUCAAUAGACAAAGUAAUUGCUGAGAAGGAGGAAAACCACUAUGCUAUAUCUGAAGAAGAACAGGCUGCUAUAGCUGCCGCAGAAGCUGCCCGUGCUAAAGCUCUUGCUGCUGCUGAGGCAUAUGCCUCUGCAGAGGCCAGAUGCAAUACACUGUUACAGCUUCCAAAGAUACCCUCAUUCCACAAAUUUGCUAGACGUGAGCAGAAUCCACAAAAUGAUGAGUGUGAUAGUAAAAAAAGAUGGUCUGGUGGUGUUUUUGGAAGGCAAGAUUGUAUUUCAGAGAUUGAUUCCAGGAAUUGCAGAGUUAGGGACUGGUCUGUUGAUUUCUCUGCUGCUUGUGUCAACCUUGAUAAUUCCAGAAUGCCAGUUGAUAACCUUUCACAGAGGAGUCACUCAAAUGAGAUUGCCAGCCAUUUGAAUUUCAGAGAGCACUCAGGAGAAAGUGCUGCUGGUGACAGCAGUAUAUACACAAAGGCUUGGAUUGAUACAGCUGGUGGUGUUGCAAUUAAAGACCAUCAUGCCAUAGAGAGAUGGCAAUCUCAAGCAGCUGCAGCCGAUUCUUAUUUUUCUAACCCAACUAUUCAUUUGAAGGACGAGGAGGAUUCAAAUGCCUGUUCAAAGCUGCCUAGCUGGAAGCGUGAUGGUAUUGCAAAUGAGAGCUCUAUUUCACAGGUUACUGUAAAUAAGGAGUCCCUAAAAAGUCAUCCCCGAGGAGCUGAUCAUAUUAAACAAGCUGUUGUGGACUAUGUUGCAUCACUGCUGAUGCCCCUUUAUAAGGCGAGGAAACUAGACAAGGAUGGAUACAAAGCUAUAAUGAAGAAAAGUGCAACUAAGUUUCAGGUCAUGGAGCAAGCCACAGAUGCAGAAAAAGCCAUGACUGUUUGCGAGUUUCUAGAUUUUAAGCGAAAGAACAAGAUUCGCUCCUUUGUGGAUAUAUUGAUCGAGAGACACAUGACAUCGAAACCAGAUAUGAAAUCUUAAUGUUUGGGGAUGGAAUAGUCUGUACUUUGUUGUACCUCUUUGUAACAGUUGCCAAACUCUGGUUCUUCUUCCUACUUCAGUUCUCACAGUUUUGGUGAGCAUGGGCAUGUUCUCAUAUGAGCACCUCAAUCUGCCUAUGUAAAUGAUCUAGAAGGUACAAUUAAAAACACAAACAAAACUUGAUUGAUUCAAAUCAAGUGGGUUUUAUGGAAAUUCCUUGUCGGCUUGUCCUGGAACAGCAUACUGAAUACUGAUGGUAGAUGGCCAGUAAACCGGCUUCACCACCUCUAAACAGACUCUCAUUGCAACUAUCUGUUCGAGAUUCAGUGUGAUGGGCAUUGGCAGGUUUGAAGAUGACAGCAGGCUGAGAAAGAUUAUAUCAAUCACUAAUGGGAGGAACUAGGUAUUCUGUCUUUUCCCUGUGUUUUGAUGUUUAUUGCAACUCUUACCUUCUUCAAAGCCAAUUUUCAGACGGUCAUCAUGCCAGCAGUAUGCCAUGGAAAUUAAAUUUCGCUGGAUAAUAUGCUUAAAUGGUAUCAGGCUAUAUUAUCUCAAGAGUUGCCUAAUGUCGAAAUAUUACGUUGUUGGUAUUGAUCUUUGUGAAAAUAUUACGUUCUUAGUAUUGUAUCACAAGCAUGUUGCAAUUUAUUUGGUUUUAGGUGGGUUGCUAACUCUAACUUCUAUGUUGAGAUCAAACUAUAGAUGUAGUGUUGCAUCGGCAAAUGGGAUACAAGUGCAGGUUGUGGCGAUUUCAAAUCUACACGAUGAAACUGGCAUUCUUGCUCUCUUGCAUUACUUUAACUAAAGUGACGCGUUUAUUUCCUUAUAUUUCUACAGUUCGUGCACUUUGAUUUUGAUAUUGUAAAUUAAGCUAGCACCGCUUCUGUUAUUAUUGGCUCUAACCUGAGGGCAUGCAUCUAUUUUGAAAAUUAGAUGUUCUUACCAAUUUUCUGAGCUAACCAUCAACAAGAAGAGCUAAAGUAUAGGACGUUAUAUGAAAGGUUUUCUUAGAAAUGUACAUACAGUGUACUUAGGUGUGUUUUUCGAUACUAAUCGUUUUGCAUGAUUUUAAAGAUAAUUGGAGUUUUAUUUAAA